Molecule: ribosomal RNA, 274 nt
Filed under: uncultured bacterium
Lineage: Bacteria
Description: partial 16S ribosomal RNA
Rfam family: Bacterial small subunit ribosomal RNA
Source: RNAcentral
CUACGGAGGGUGCGAGCGUUAAUCGGAAUUACUGGGCGUAAAGCGUACGUAGGCGGUUGGUUAAGUUAGAUGUGAAAGCCCCGGGCUUAACCUGGGAACUGCAUUUAAAACUGGCGAACUAGAGUUGAGUAGAGGGGAGUGGAAUUUCAGGUGUAGCGGUGAAAUGCGUAGAGAUCUGAAGGAACACCAGUGGCGAAGGCGACUCCCUGGACUCGAACUGACGCUGAGGUACGAAAGCGUGGGUAGCCAACGGGAUUAGAUACCCUAGUAGUCC